RNAcentral lists this unclassified non-coding RNA (331 nucleotides) under Zea mays. RNAcentral describes it as "misc RNA Zm00001eb087190". The record is from RNAcentral. Lineage: Eukaryota; Viridiplantae; Streptophyta; Magnoliopsida; Poales; Poaceae.
CUGGGCAAGAGCGCGAGGUGGCAGGCCAUAGUGCACCUGGGCAAGAGCGCGAGGUGGCUGGCCAUAGUGCACCUGGGCAAGAGCGCGAGGUGGCAUGCCACAAUGCACUUGAGCCGGAGCGUGAGGCGAUAGGCUCAAGUGGACCUAUGCUAGAGCAGGACCACAAUGCAUUUGAGCAAGCGCGCGAGGCGGCAGACCACAAUGCACCUAGUCAGGAGGACGAGCUGGCACGCCAAGGUUCACCAAUGCGUGAUGAUGACUAUGGGGAGGACUACGAUGGAGAGGCCGAUGGAGAGGCCGAUGACGAGGUUGUUACAAUGACACAGGCAAC